GGAGAGGUGCGCGAGCGGUUGAAACGGCGUCCCUGGAAAGGACGUAUAUCCGAAAGGGUAUCGAGGGUUCGAAUCCCUCCCUCUCCGCCA
RNAcentral lists this transfer RNA (90 nucleotides) under Candidatus Taylorbacteria bacterium RIFCSPHIGHO2_02_49_25. RNAcentral describes it as "tRNA-Ser". It matches the Rfam family "tRNA". Rfam says of the family: Transfer RNA (tRNA) molecules are approximately 80 nucleotides in length. Their secondary structure includes four short double-helical elements and three loops (D, anti-codon, and T loops). Lineage: Bacteria; Candidatus Tayloriibacteriota. RNAcentral also lists the same sequence under 3 other names. The record is from RNAcentral.